This 440-nucleotide ribosomal RNA is filed under the name uncultured bacterium. RNAcentral describes it as "partial 16S ribosomal RNA". It matches the Rfam family "Bacterial small subunit ribosomal RNA", at positions 338 to 795 of the family's 1533-position model. The record is from RNAcentral.
CCUACGGGUGGCAGCAGUGGGGAAUAUUGCACAAUGGGGGAAACCCUGAUGCAGCAACGCCGCGUGAGUGAGGAAGUAUUUCGGUAUGUAAAGCUCUAUCAGCAGGGAAUAGAAAAGAAGGUACCUGAAACAGAAGCGCCGGCUAACUACGUGCCAGCAGCCGCGGUAAUACGGAGGAUGCGAGCGUUAUCCGGUUUUAUUGGGUUUAAAGGGUGCGUAGGCGGGCUGUUAAGUCAGCGGUAAAAGCCCGGGGCUCAACCCCGGCGAGCCGUUGAAACUGGCUGUCUUGAGAUGGCGAGAGGUAUGCGGAAUGCGCAGUGUAGCGGUGAAAUGCUUAGAUAUUGCGCAGAACUCCGAUUGCGAAGGCAGCAUACCGGCUGCGAUCUGACGCUGAGGCACGAAAGCGUGGGUAUCGAACAGGAUUAGAUACCCGAGUAGUC